AGAGUUUGAUCCUGGCUCAGGAUGAACGCUAGCUACAGGCUUAACACAUGCAAGUCGAGGGGAAACGACAUCGAAAGCUUGCUUUUGAUGGGCGUCGACCGGCGCACGGGUGAGUAACGCGUAUCCAACCUGCCCAUCACUUGGGGAUAACCUUGCGAAAGUAAGACUAAUACCCAAUGAUAUCUCUAGAAGACAUCUGAAAGAGAUUAAAGAUUUAUCGGUGAUGGAUGGGGAUGCGUCUGAUUAGCUUGUUGGGCGGGGUAACGGCCACCAAGGCUACGAUCAGGUAGGGGUUCUGAGAGGAAGGUCCCCCACAUUGGAACUGAGACACGGUCCAAACUCCGUACGGGAGGCGA
RNAcentral lists this ribosomal RNA (356 nucleotides) under uncultured bacterium. RNAcentral's name for it is "bacterial SSU rRNA". It matches the Rfam family "Bacterial small subunit ribosomal RNA", at positions 8 to 351 of the family's 1533-position model. The record is from RNAcentral.